GAGUUUGAUCCUGGCUCAGAAUGAACGCUGGCGGCAUGCCUAACACAUGCAGGUCGAACGAAGCCUUCGGGCUUAGUGGCGCACGGGUGCGUAACGCGUGGGAAUCUGCCCCUCGGUUCGGAAUAACAGUUGGAAACGACUGCUAAUACCGGAUGAUGACGAAAGUCCAAAGAUUUAUCGCCGAGGGAUGAGCCCGCGUAGGAUUAGCUAGUUGGUGUGGUAAAAGCGCACCAAGGCGACGAUCCUUAGCUGGUCUGAGAGGAUGAUCAGCCACACUGGGACUGAGACACGGCCCAGACUCCUACGGGAGGCAGCAGUGGGGAAUAUUGGACAAUGGGCGAAAGCCUGAUCCAGCAAUGCCGCGUGAGUGAUGAAGGCCUUAGGGUUGUAAAGCUCUUUUACCCGGGAUGAUAAUGACAGUACCGGGAGAAUAAGCUCCGGCUAACUCUGUGCCAGCAGCCGCGGUAAUACGGAGGGAGCUAGCGUUAUUCGGAAUUACUGGGCGUAAAGCGCACGUAGGCGGCUUUGUAAGUUAGAGGUGAAAGCCUGGAGCUCAACUCCAGAAUUGCCUUUAAGACUGCAUCGCUUGAAUCCAGGAGAGGUGAGUGGAAUUCCGAGUGUAGAGGUGAAAUUCUAGAUAUUCGGAAGAACACCAGUGGC
Molecule: ribosomal RNA, 660 nt
Filed under: uncultured bacterium
Lineage: Bacteria
Description: bacterial SSU rRNA
Rfam family: Bacterial small subunit ribosomal RNA
Source: RNAcentral